This 19-nucleotide ribosomal RNA is filed under the name Gluconacetobacter entanii. Its description in RNAcentral is "partial 23S ribosomal RNA". Lineage: Bacteria; Pseudomonadati; Pseudomonadota; Alphaproteobacteria; Acetobacterales; Acetobacteraceae. The record is from RNAcentral.
AUGAGCGCGAUAAGGGCAU